Molecule: RNA transcript, 927 nt
Organism: Tribolium castaneum (red flour beetle)
Lineage: Eukaryota; Metazoa; Arthropoda; Insecta; Coleoptera; Tenebrionidae
Exons: 4
Source: RefSeq, a predicted model, not a curated record
AGAUUAUUUUUGAUUGAUGUUCUUUGCCUUGCUAUAAAUAAUAGGUCGGAACGGAUUUACUCAAUUCACAAGUUUCAAGUGAGUAAUAAUGGCUCGGUUUACAGUUUUUGUGCUUUUUCUGACCGCUUUAGUGGCAACAAUUGCAGCUGAUUGUACAGGAGCUACAAAGGAUAUAAAGCCAUAUAAAACCGAAGAUAUAAGGUAUUCGCUUGAAGUCUACUACCAGCUGUUGUUGUACAUCAAGGAAAAUAAUUUGUUGCAAGUUCGUGACUGUCCAAUGUGUAAAUGCUUCAAUGAUGGCACGUGUGUGGACUUGUGCGAUGGCGGAAUAUGGCCUUAAUUGUACUAUUUAAUGUUAUUGUUAAACCAAAAAAAUUAAAUAAACUUUCGCAAACCUAAGUUUAAAAGAGUCCAAAUCCUGGAAUUUAAUACUUGGGGAUUAGUUUUAUCUAUGAACUGAUUAGGGGAUUAAGAUUUUUCGAUGUGUGUCAAUAACUUACGAAAAUAGAACGCAAUCUCUGGAACUGGAUCAAAAUUUGGUACUGAUUUUGCCAAUUAAAAUCUGGGGCAGAAAGUUUGUAAAAUUCCAAAAAUGGAUUAUCCGUGAUGAUAUAUAAAAGUAUCUUUGACAAUUUUAUUGCCAGUGUGUUCUAAAAUCUUGAAGCAAAAAUGAGAAAAAGUUUAAUUCUAGUUGCUUUAUUUCUAUUUGUUUUGGCAAAUAAUUUGCACGGAACAAACUCCAAGAAUGUGGAUAUUUCAACAUUUCGUUACACGAAGGAAAAGUAUUAUGAGCUGCUCCGUUACAUCAAAGAAAAUAAAUUAAUUGACUUGGACACCUGUCCACAAAAAUUAAACUUUCACCACUUUUCUAUCGAUUUGUGCAACGAAAACGAAUGGCCGUGAUUUCGCAAUAAAUUUUUAAUGAAA